AUGGGAAUGAAUGAGAUGUUUCUGGCUUUCACAUCGUCUCAACAACACUGUUUUUGUCCUGAUAGGUCCAUGAAAACGACUGGACGCCAGCAAAGAAAAGGACGGGAAGCGCAGACUGAACACUUUACCACUGGUUCUGGCCACGAACACUGGGACCAACAAUUUCUCCAAACAGGGUGGAUGCACACUGAGAUAAAGACCAAGCCACUUCACAUAGAGGCAGACAAACGUACGAAAGGAGCAGAGACAGAAGGCAAAGUAAGGUUGAUCUCUCGUCAUGCAUUUGACCCUCUGCUCCUCGUGUUACUUCUGCCUGCUUUCACUUCUUGUGACGCCUUCAUUUGUGAGGACAGGAACCGAGGACAUUUUCUGAAGCCAAUUACAGGAAGUGUUGAGCAGAACUUAGCAUUAACAACAUGAGCACAAGAAAAUCCACCAGUCUGGGAUUUCAAAGGAAACGGUCAAACGUGAACGCUUGGUCGCUUGGCUCUCGCUUUGAUCCGACUAAUGGACCAACAUCAACAUCCACAUGAGCAAAAGUGAGCCAGACAUCUCUCAUUAUUUAUAGAUACUUUAUGUAAGUAUAAUCACUGAACACAGGCGUUGAGGCCUGAGUUCACCUCAGUAAACGCAAACGUCUUCCAGUGUGCAUCCGGCCUUCAGAGGGAGACAACAUUCAAGGCGUAGAAUAUAUCUAAAAAGGAAGUACUGUACAAUAGUCACGUCACAGCCCGACAGACAGAGCAGGAAAAAUGCACUUUUUUAACAUCUGUUUUUGUUUUUUUUAAACACAUUAGAUCUUUUUUUCUGUACAGGCAGAGUCCCAGUCGCACCCAAUGAAAACCACCGCUGCGUCGGUCCUAUUUCCUCGUGUGUAAAGCGCGUCGUCACAGGCACACGGCUCAAACGCACAAGCAUGCGCUCGCUCCUAUUCACAAUCACGUGCACAGCGCCCGCAGCUCGUGCCCAUUGCCUCGUGUGACCAGCGUCAGGCAGCGUCAG
This 1002-nucleotide long non-coding RNA is filed under the name Betta splendens (Siamese fighting fish). RNAcentral's name for it is "lncRNA (ENSBSLG00000015617.1)". Lineage: Eukaryota; Metazoa; Chordata; Actinopteri; Anabantiformes; Osphronemidae. The record is from RNAcentral.